Molecule: ribosomal RNA, 468 nt
Filed under: Yersinia pestis
Lineage: Bacteria; Pseudomonadati; Pseudomonadota; Gammaproteobacteria; Enterobacterales; Yersiniaceae
Description: partial 23S ribosomal RNA
Rfam family: Bacterial large subunit ribosomal RNA
Source: RNAcentral
AUUUGGUGGAUGCCUUGGGUCUGAAAGUCGAUGAAGGACGCGAUUACCUGCGAUAAGCUUCGUGGAGUUGGAAAUAAACUAUGAUACAGAGAUUUCCGAAUGGGGUAACCUAACUGAGCAAACCUCAGUUGCAUUUUGAUGAAUCCAUAGUCAAAUUAGCGAGACACGUUGCGAAUUGAAACAUCUUAGUAGCAACAGGAAAAGAAAAUAAAUAAUGAUUUCGUCAGUAGUGGCGAGCGAAAGCGAAAGAGCCCAAACCUGUAAAAAGGGGUUGUAGGACAUCUUACAUUGAGUUACAAAAUUUUAUGAUAGUAGAAGAAGUUGGAAAGCUUCAACAUAGAAGGUGAUAUUCCUGUAUACGAAAUCAUAAAAUCUCAUAGAUGUAUCCUGAGUAGGGCGGGGCACGUGAAACCCUGUCUGAAUCUGCCGGGACCACCCGGUAAGGCUAAAUACUAAUCAGACACCGAU